RNAcentral lists this ribosomal RNA (232 nucleotides) under uncultured bacterium. RNAcentral's name for it is "partial 16S ribosomal RNA". It matches the Rfam family "Bacterial small subunit ribosomal RNA", at positions 545 to 776 of the family's 1533-position model. The record is from RNAcentral.
CCGGAAUCAUUGGGCGUAAAGAGCGUGUAGGCGGCCACUUAAGUCCUGCGUGAAAUCUUGCGGCUCAACCGCAAGCGGUCGUGGGAAACUGGGUGGCUAGAGUGCGGGAGAGGAGAGUGGAAUUCCUGGUGUAGCGGUGGAAUGCGCAGAUAUCAGGAAGAACACCCGUGGCGAAGGCGGCUCUCUGGAACGCAACUGACGCUGAGACGCGAAAGCGUGGGGAGCAAACAGG